This is a small nucleolar RNA of Ochotona princeps (American pika), 95 nucleotides long. Its record names the gene SNORA70. It matches the Rfam family "Small nucleolar RNA SNORA70". Rfam says of the family: snoRNA U70 seems to be exclusive to mammals and is a member of the H/ACA class of snoRNA which contain H (ANANNA) and ACA box motifs. H/ACA box snoRNAs are involved in the conversion of uridines to pseudouridines (5-ribosyluracil) a constituent of structural RNAs (transfer, ribosomal, small nuclear, and small nucleolar). The record is from Ensembl. Lineage: Eukaryota; Metazoa; Chordata; Mammalia; Lagomorpha; Ochotonidae.
AACCAAAAUCUCCUGGUGUGCAGACAGCAGCUUCCUUGAUAGUGUAUGCAACCUGUUGCUUGUAUGGCUUGCCCUAAGAAACCUUGGAGACAGUC